This 515-nucleotide ribosomal RNA is filed under the name Hygrophorus russula. RNAcentral describes it as "eukaryotic LSU rRNA". The stretch from base 127 to 280 matches the Rfam family "5.8S ribosomal RNA". Lineage: Eukaryota; Fungi; Basidiomycota; Agaricomycetes; Agaricales; Hygrophoraceae. The record is from RNAcentral.
CAUNAUUGAAUUUGGGUUUCCAUAUUCUUACACCUGUGCACUUUUUGUAGGCCAUUUAUUUGGUCUAUGUCUUUUUUAUAAUAACUCAUCUUUGUAAAUGUGAAUGGAAAUGGGAUAAAAUAAUACAACUUUCAACAACGGAUCUCUUGGCUCUCGCAUCGAUGAAGAACGCAGCGAAAUGCGAUAAGUAAUGUGAAUUGCAGAAUUCAGUGAAUCAUCAAAUCUUUGAACGCACCUUGCGCUCCUUGGUAUUCCGAGGAGCAUGCCUGUUUGAGUGUCAUUAAAUUCUCAAAAGUCUUUCUUUAGACAUUUUGGACUUGGAGUGUUUGCUGGCUUUUUUAUAUAUCAAAGUCAGCUCCUCUUAAAUGCAUUAGCUUGUGCUCUGUGGAUUAGGCUUUGGUUUGAUAGUAUCUAUGCCAUCGCUUUUGAAACAAAUAGUCAGCUUCUAACAAACAAUCUCUUUGACAUUUUGACCUCAAAUCAGGUAGGACUACCCGCUGAACUUAAGCAUAUCA